Molecule: ribosomal RNA, 497 nt
Filed under: uncultured bacterium
Lineage: Bacteria
Description: partial 16S ribosomal RNA
Rfam family: Bacterial small subunit ribosomal RNA
Source: RNAcentral
GAUGAACGCUGGCGGCGUGCCUAAUACAUGCAAGUCGAGCGAACAGAUGAGGAGCUUGCUCCUCUGACGUUAGCGGCGGACGGGUGAGUAACACGUGGAUAACCUACCUAUAAGACUGGGAUAACUUCGGGAAACCGUAGCUAAUACCGGAUAAUAUAUUGAACCGCAUGGUUCAAUAGUGAAAGACGGUUUUGCUGUCACUUAUAGAUGGAUCCGCGCCGCAUUAGCUAGUUGGUAAGGUAACGGCUUACCAAGGCAACGAUGUGUAGCCGACCUGAGAGGGUGAUAGGCCACACUGGAACUGAGACACGGUCCAGACUCCUACGGGAGGCAGCAGUAGGGAAUCUUCCGCAAUGGGCGAAAGCCUGACGGAGCAACGCAGCGUGAGUGAUGAAGGUCUUCGGAUCGUAAAACUCUGUUAUUAGGGAAGAACAAAUGUGUAAGUAACUAUGCACGUCUUGACGGUACCUAAUCAGAAAGCCACGGCUAACUACGUG